RNAcentral lists this ribosomal RNA (253 nucleotides) under uncultured bacterium. Its description in RNAcentral is "partial 16S ribosomal RNA". It matches the Rfam family "Bacterial small subunit ribosomal RNA", at positions 524 to 776 of the family's 1533-position model. The record is from RNAcentral.
UACGAGGGGGGCAAGCGUUGUUCGGAAUUACUGGGCGUAAAGGGCUCGUAGGCGGCCAACUAAGUCAGACGUGAAAUCCCUCGGCUUAACCGGGGAACUGCGUCUGAUACUGGAUGGCUUGAGUUUGGGAGAGGGAUGCGGAAUUCCAGGUGUAGCGGUGAAAUGCGUAGAUAUCUGGAGGAACACCGGUGGCGAAGGCGGCAUCCUGGACCAACACUGACGCUGAGGAGCGAAAGCCAGGGGAGCAAACAGG